UUUCUGUGUAGUUUUAAUUAAACUGAAUCAUAUGUGAACAGAUUAGAAUCGGAAAAGUUGUGAUAUUCGCAAAAUUAAGGAAUUUGAAUCGCUAAUUACACUUCUGAUUCGAAUUUGGUAUCAACAAAUCUCUAAUUUUCUUUUUUAUUUCGAGAACGGCACAGCCACUCAAGCGUGGAGAUCAGUCAUGUCUACGAAGAAGAAACUGAACAAUUUUAAGGCCGACGGCCUUGAGCCACGUCGCAAGACUAAGAGGAGCCGACGUGAGAAACGGAAGGCGACAGCGGAGAAGCUGAGUGCGAAAUUGGCCAAGAAGAAAGCAAAGACUCAGCUGAUGAAGAAGGGGCUCGACAAUUCGAUGGCCAAACUCGAGGAGAUGGAAUCCGAAUGCGCCAGAAUGAGGGAGGAGUACAAGCUGGCGAUUGAGGAGAACGUCGAUCUCCAACUCUCCGUCGACUACGUGCUGUUUGCCUUCUUGCGUGGAGGACAUGGUGGAAGCUGAUACCUCAUUCACUCUUGGAUCCACUAAACCCUGAAUCUGUUCAACACUGACUCGACCAAUUAUGCGAAGAUCUCAGAACGUCUUUGCUUUGACUUGGACCAAAAUAAACGGAUUGCACAUACUCUCACUCUACAUGCUAGGGCAUAUAAUUCCAGCGAAGGUGGUACAUGUAAGAAGUUCCCUUCCAAGUCGUCCAUUAAGGUUUGGUGCUGCAAAGAUUCAAGAAGAUGUUUUCAACCUUUUUGGAGCUGGAUUGCGUGAGUACUUGGGGCCAUAUGGAAUUAUGGGUCAAGGAAGUCAACAUGCUAAAUGUUGUUACUUCUUUUGUCCUUGACUUGAUUCCUUACUGAGUUGCCUGAGAAUGCCUGCUUUCAGUCUGGUUUGGGUCAAGAAGAGCAGGAAAUGGCCACAAGAAGAGACCAGCUGGUUUAUGAUACUCAUAAGAUUAUUCUGCUUUAGAAAGAUGAUGUCCCAUUUAAGAUCACUUCAUGGGAAUGAUAUUGUUUCAUAUCAAGGAUUUGUUGUGCUCUUCCUAAUAUAUAUAGCUAAAAGAGGCUCAAGCAUUUCUCACCUA
RNA transcript from Tripterygium wilfordii, 1076 nucleotides. RefSeq lists it as uncharacterized. The record is from RefSeq and is a predicted model, not a curated record. The transcript is spliced from 4 exons. NCBI's taxonomy places the organism in Eukaryota, Viridiplantae, Streptophyta, Magnoliopsida, Celastrales, Celastraceae.